Molecule: ribosomal RNA, 488 nt
Filed under: uncultured Gammaproteobacteria bacterium
Lineage: Bacteria; Pseudomonadati; Pseudomonadota; Gammaproteobacteria
Description: bacterial SSU rRNA
Rfam family: Bacterial small subunit ribosomal RNA
Source: RNAcentral
GAUGAGCCGAAGUCGGAUUAGCUAGUUGGUAGGGUAACGGCCUACCAAGGCGACGAUCCGUAGCUGGUCUGAGAGGACGACCAGCCACACUGGGACUGAGACACGGCCCAGACUCCUACGGGAGGCAGCAGUGGGGAAUAUUGGACAAUGGGGGAAACCCUGAUCCAGCGACGCCGCGUGUGUGAAGAAGGCCUGCGGGUUGUAAAGCACUUUUAGUGGGGAUGAAAAGCUCAGGGAUAACACCUCUGGGUCUUGACCUAACCCACAGAAAAAGCACCGGCUAACUCUGUGCCAGCAGCCGCGGUAAUACAGAGGGUGCAAGCGUUAAUCGGAAUUACUGGGCGUAAAGCGUGCGUAGACGGUUAUGUAAGUCGGGUGUGAAAGCCCCGGGCUCAACCUGGGAAUGCCAUUCGAGACUGCAUAGCUAGGGUGCGGAAGAGGGAAGCGGAAUUUCCGGUGUAGCGGUGAAAUGCGUAGAUAUCGGAAGG